ACCCUAGGUCGUGACCCUAACCCCCCAGGGGGCCCCCUUUAAGGAGCCCGCGCGCCGGGAGGACCCCGCGCUCACCAGGUGUGACUGCUCGGCUGACAGCGGGGGAAACCGAGGCCCGCGGGGGGAAGAGACCUGUAGGAGGUCCCGCGGGGAAUCAGACUGCGGGUGCCGUCUAGGGCCGGGUCCUCCUGGCCGGGCUCUCGCUCCGACCCUCUGAGGGCCCCCGCGAGGUGCUUCCUUUAGGAAAUUCCCGGCCGCGGGCCUCCGCGCACUUCGCGCUCCGUGCGGCACAUCGUACACGUCCUCCGCGGCGCCGCCGCGCCCCGAGAGAGGUGAGAGCGGAGAGGACCAGCGCCGUCCGCCUCCGAGAGCUAACUUGGGGCGCGGGUCCGGCGCGGGAGGCGGAGGGCCCGGCGGGAACGCGCUGGCCCUUUAAGGGGGGGACGGGGCGCAUGCGCGGCGCGGGCCGGAGUCGGGGCCGGUGGGCGGCGGGCGGCCGGCGGGCGGGCAGGGGACGCGCGCGCUCGGCGGCAGCUGGGCCCGGGGGCGGCGGGGGCGGCGGCGACCGAGCCUCGCGGAGCAGCGGAGCCGCGACCUGCGCGUGGGCCCGGCGCUCGGGGGCUGCUCUCCCGGGACUAGCUCGGCGCGCGCUCGCCGAGGCCCCGCCGCUCGCUGCAGCUCCCUCCGCGGGCCGUGGCUGCGCGAGCCCCGAGCCCUCCGGCCGCCGGUCCUUCGUCCCGCCCGGGCCGGGCAGCGGGGAGCGCCAGCGGAGCGCCGCGGAGCAUCCUUCGCCCGGCCCGGAUGCCGCAGCCCCUGGGGGCCGCGACCGCGCAGCCGGAGCCCGCCGCCCGGUGACCCCGGCCCGGCCCCGCCGAGCCCCGCCGAGCCCCGCGCCCCGCGCCCCGCGAUGGCUCGGCUGGCGCUGCGCGGUGCCGGGUGCCCGCCGUCCGCCCGCUGAGCCGCGCCCCGCCCCGCCCCGCCGCGCCCCGCCGCGCCCUGCACCCCGCGGGGAGCUGCGCGGCCGCUGCCCGGGGCCGAGGGCGCGGGGGCCGAGACAAAGCCCGGCGUGCGGGGCCCGGCCGCGGGCGUGGAAUGAGCGCCCCCUCCCCGCGCCCCGCGGCCGGCGCGCCUCGGCUCCCGGGCUGGUCGCGCCCCGCGCCACCCUCCGCGGCGGGGGUCCCGGCCCCGAGCUGAGGCGCGCGGUCGCCCCGGAGCCCCCCGGAGCCCCCCGGAGCCCCCGGAGCGCGCGCUGCUGGGAGGGAGCGCGCCGUAUUUUGGAGACGAAUCUAUUCUCUCCAGAACGGGGACUUGGGGCGCCCGCUCGGCCUGGGCGCCGGUGCCUUGAGCCUCUGUGGCCACAGGUCGGAGCUGUCUGGCCUCAGUUUCCCUUAGACUUCUCUCCGGUCCGCAAGCCCAGGCUGCUGCCCGGCAUUGUUCUCGCUGUCAAAUCGGGGAGCGUGGUGAAGGCUGCCAGCUCGGGGUAUUUUAUUGUACAGGAGCCACGCCCUGGUUUCUUAAAGGCGCCUCGCACUCUGUUUGGCCAUGUGUUAUCUCUGCAGCUGGUGUGUGGGAGGCCUCCAGUGAGCCACCUAUUUUUUCCUGCCUCCUGA
This 1610-nucleotide long non-coding RNA is filed under the name Canis lupus familiaris (dog). Its description in RNAcentral is "lncRNA (ENSCAFG00040016073.1)". The record is from RNAcentral. Lineage: Eukaryota; Metazoa; Chordata; Mammalia; Carnivora; Canidae.